UCCCUUUUGCUGUACAUAAACGGAUGAUUGAGGUUACAUGUGUGACAUGUGCCUCCCUCCAUCCUUGUUAUGACAUUGGCACAUUACCCAUCUGAUG
Molecule: small nucleolar RNA, 97 nt
Filed under: Ochotona princeps (American pika)
Lineage: Eukaryota; Metazoa; Chordata; Mammalia; Lagomorpha; Ochotonidae
Description: Small nucleolar RNA U13 (ENSOPRG00000023187.1)
Rfam family: Small nucleolar RNA U13
Source: RNAcentral